UACGAAGGGGGCUAGCGUUGUUCGGAAUUACUGGGCGUAAAGGGCGCGUAGGCUGUGCUGUAAGUCAGGCGUGAAAGGCCCGGGCUCAACCUGGGAACUGCGCUUGAUACUGCGGCGCUCGAAGACGGGAGAGGAUGGCGGAAUUCCCAGUGUAGAGGUGAAAUUCGUAGAUAUUCGCAAGAACACCAGUGGCGAAGGCGGCUCACUGGCCCGGAACUGACGCUGAGGUGCGAAAGCGUGGGGAGCAAACGGG
This 253-nucleotide ribosomal RNA is filed under the name uncultured bacterium. RNAcentral describes it as "partial 16S ribosomal RNA". It matches the Rfam family "Bacterial small subunit ribosomal RNA", at positions 524 to 776 of the family's 1533-position model. The record is from RNAcentral.